UGGUGGCCCUGCCCAGCUCGAUCUGCCACUGCGACCGGCUCUGCGACGUGCUGCUGCAGGGCAACGACCUGCGUUCGCUGCCAGAGGAGCUCGGCCAGGUGCGGAGCAUCAGGACGCUGCUGCUGCACGACAACCACUUGGAGGUC
This 146-nucleotide non-coding RNA is filed under the name Alexandrium tamarense. Lineage: Eukaryota; Dinophyceae; Gonyaulacales; Pyrocystaceae. The record is from RNAcentral.